RNAcentral lists this ribosomal RNA (433 nucleotides) under uncultured bacterium. Its description in RNAcentral is "partial 16S ribosomal RNA". It matches the Rfam family "Bacterial small subunit ribosomal RNA", at positions 29 to 507 of the family's 1533-position model. The record is from RNAcentral.
AGCGAACGCUGGCGGCAGGCCUAACACAUGCAAGUCGAACGGAUCCUUCGGGAUUAGUGGCGGACGGGUGAGUAACACGUGGGAACGUGCCCUUUGGUUCGGAACAACUCAGGGAAACUUGAGCUAAUACCGGAUGUGCCCUUCGGGGGAAAGACUUAUCGCCAUUGGAGCGGCCCGCGUCUGAUUAGCUAGUUGGUGAGGUAACGGCCCACCAAGGCGACGAUCAGUAGCUGGUCUGAGAGGAUGAUCAGCCACACUGGGACUGAGACACGGCCCAGACUCCUACGGGAGGCAGCAGUGGGGAAUCUUGCGCAAUGGGCGAAAGCCUGACGCAGCCAUGCCGCGUGAAUGAUGAAGGUCUUAGGAUUGUAAAAUUCUUUCAGCGGGGACGAUAAUGACGGUACCCGCAGAAGAAGCGCCGGCUAACUUCGUG